Molecule: ribosomal RNA, 86 nt
Filed under: Shewanella algae
Lineage: Bacteria; Pseudomonadati; Pseudomonadota; Gammaproteobacteria; Alteromonadales; Shewanellaceae
Description: partial 16S ribosomal RNA
Rfam family: Bacterial small subunit ribosomal RNA
Source: RNAcentral
UAAUUGAAGAGUUUGAUCAUGGCUCAGAUUGAACGCUGGCGGCAGGCCUAACACAUGCAAGUCGAGCGGUAACAUUUCAAAAGCUU